This 374-nucleotide ribosomal RNA is filed under the name uncultured organism. RNAcentral's name for it is "partial 16S ribosomal RNA". It matches the Rfam family "Bacterial small subunit ribosomal RNA", at positions 527 to 896 of the family's 1533-position model. The record is from RNAcentral.
GUAGGUGGCAAGCGUUGUCCGGAAUUAUUGGGCGUAAAGCGCGCGCAGGCGGUCCUUUAAGUCUGAUGUGAAAGCCCACGGCUCAACCGUGGAGGGCCAUUGGAAACUGGGGGACUUGAGUACAGAAGAGGAAAGCGGAAUUCCAAGUGUAGCGGUGAAAUGCGUAGAGAUUUGGAGGAACACCAGUGGCGAAGGCGGCUUUCUGGUCUGUAACUGACGCUGAGGCGCGGAAGCGUGGGGAGCAAACAGGAUUAGAUACCCUGGUAGUCCACGCCGUAAACGAUGAGUGCUAGGUGUUAGGGGGUUUCCCGCCCCCUUAGUGCUGCAGCUAACGCAUUAAGCACUCCGCCUGGGGAGUACGGCCCGCAAGGCUG